CCCGGGCAAGUCUUAUACGGUCAGCUCCCAUUGAAUUCCCCCAGGGUCGGAAGGCAGCAAGGGUAGAUGGUUGUAGCGACGCGAUAUAAAUAGCUUGCCCU
RNAcentral lists this signal recognition particle RNA (101 nucleotides) under marine eukaryotic metagenome. RNAcentral's name for it is "Bacteroidales small SRP". It matches the Rfam family "Bacteroidales small SRP", at positions 8 to 103 of the family's 107-position model. Rfam says of the family: The non-coding component of the signal recognition particle in Bacteroides The record is from RNAcentral.